RNAcentral lists this ribosomal RNA (468 nucleotides) under uncultured bacterium. Its description in RNAcentral is "partial 16S ribosomal RNA". It matches the Rfam family "Bacterial small subunit ribosomal RNA", at positions 28 to 507 of the family's 1533-position model. The record is from RNAcentral.
GACGAACGCUGGCGGCGUGCUUAACACAUGCAAGUCGAACGGAAAGGCCCUGCUUUUGUGGGGUUCUCGAGUGGCGAACGGGUGAGUAACACGUGAGUAACCUGCCCUUGACUUUGGGAUAACUUCAGGAAACUGGGGCUAAUACCGGAUAGGAGCUCCUGCUGCAUGGUGGGGGUUGGAAAGUUUUGGCGGUUGGGGAUGGACUCGCGGCUUAUCAGCUUGUUGGUGGGGUAGUGGCUUACCAAGGCUUUGACGGGUAGCCGGCCUGAGAGGGUGACCGGCCACAUUGGGACUGAGACACGGCCCAGACUCCUACGGGAGGCAGAAGUGGGGAAUAUUGCACAAUGGGCGGAAGCCUGAUGCAGCAACCCCGCGUGUGGGAUAACGGCCUUCGGGUUGUAAACCGCUUUCGCCUGUGACGAAGCGUGAGUGACGGUAAUGGGUAAAGAAGCCCCGGCUAAAUACGUG